AUUGAACGCUGGCGGCAGGCCUAACACAUGCAAGUCGAGCGGAUGAAGGGAGCUUGCUCCUGGAUUCAGCGGCGGGCGGGUGAGUAAUGCCUAGGAAUCUGCCUGGUAGUGGGGGAUAACGUCCGGAAACGGGCGCUAAUACCGCAUACGUCCUGAGGGAGAAAGUGGGGGAUCUUCGGACCUCGCGCUAUCAGAUGAGCCUAGGUCGGAUUAGCUAGUUGGUGGGGUAAAGGCCUACCAAGGCGACGAUCCGUAACUGGUCUGAGAGGAUGAUCAGUCACACUGGAACUGAGACACGGUCCAGACUCCUACGGGAGGCAGCAGUGGGGAAUAUUGGACAAUGGGCGAAAGCCUGAUCCAGCCAUGCCGCGUGUGUGAAGAAGGUCUUCGGAUUGUAAAGCACUUUAAGUUGGGAGGAAGGGCAGUAAGUUAAUACCUUGCUGUUUUGACGUUACCAACAGAAUAAGCACCGGCUAACUUCGUG
This 484-nucleotide ribosomal RNA is filed under the name uncultured bacterium. RNAcentral's name for it is "partial 16S ribosomal RNA". It matches the Rfam family "Bacterial small subunit ribosomal RNA", at positions 30 to 507 of the family's 1533-position model. The record is from RNAcentral.